GAUGAACGCUGGCGGCGUGCCUAAUACAUGCAAGUCGAGCGAAUGGAUUAAGAGCUUGCUCUUAUGAAGUUAGCGGCGGACGGGUGAGUAACACGUGGGUAACCUGCCCAUAAGACUGGGAUAACUCCGGGAAACCGGGGCUAAUACCGGAUAACAUUUUGAACCGCAUGGUUCGAAAUUGAAAGGCGGCUUCGGCUGUCACUUAUGGACGGACCCGCGUCGCAUUAGCUAGUUGGUGAGGUAACUGCUCACCAAGGCAACGAUGCGUAGCCGACCUGAGAGGGUGAUCGGCCACACUGGGACUGAGACACGGCCCAAACUCCUACGGGAGGCAGCAGUAGGGAAUCUUCCGCAAUGGACGAAAGUCUGACGGAGCAACGCCGCGUGAGUGAUGAAGGCUUUCGGGUCGUAAAACUCUGUUGUUAGGGAAGAACAAGUGCUAGUUGAAUAAGCUGGCACCUCGACGGUACCUAACCAGAAAGCCACGGCUAACUACGUGCCAGCCGCCGCGGUAA
Molecule: ribosomal RNA, 515 nt
Filed under: uncultured bacterium
Lineage: Bacteria
Description: partial 16S ribosomal RNA
Rfam family: Bacterial small subunit ribosomal RNA
Source: RNAcentral